RNAcentral lists this ribosomal RNA (459 nucleotides) under uncultured bacterium. Its description in RNAcentral is "partial 16S ribosomal RNA". It matches the Rfam family "Bacterial small subunit ribosomal RNA", at positions 338 to 795 of the family's 1533-position model. The record is from RNAcentral.
CCUACGGGAGGCAGCAGUGAGGAAUAUUGGUCAAUGUCCGGAAGGCUGAACCAGCCAAGCCGCGUGAAGGACGAAGGUGCCAAGCAUUGUAAACUUCUUUUGUCAAGGGACAAAAUCAGGCUCGAGAGCCUGACCGAGGGUACUCGAAGAAAAAGCAUCGGCAAACUCCGUGCCAGCAGCCGCGGUAAUACGGGGGAUGCGAGCGUUAUCAGGAUUUAGUGGGGUAAAAGGGUGCGUAGGCGGACUGUUAAGUCAGCGGUAAAAGCCCGGGGCUCAACCCCGGCGAGCCGUUGAAACUGGCUGUCUUGAGAUGUCGAGAGGUAUGCGGAAUGCGGGGUGUAGCGGUGAAAUGCUUAGAUAUUGGGAAGAACUCCGGUUGCGAAGGCAGAAUGCCGGCGGCGAUCUGACGCUGAGGCACGAAAGCGUGGGUAUCGAACAGGAUUAGAUACCCUUGUAGUC